CCUACGGGUGGCAGCAGUGGGGAAUAUUGGGCAAUGGGCGCAAGCCUGACCCAGCAACGCCGCGUGAAGGAAGAAGGCUUUCGGGUUGUAAACUUCUUUUGACAGGGAAGAGCAGAAGACGGUACCUGUCGAAUAAGCCACGGCUAACUACGUGCCAGCAGCCGCGGUAAUACGGAGGAUGCGAGCGUUAUCCGGAUUUAUUGGGUUUAAAGGGUGCGCAGGCGGAAGAUCAAGUCAGCGGUAAAAUUGAGAGGCUCAACCUCUUCGAGCCGUUGAAACUGGUUUUCUUGAGUGAGCGAGAAGUAUGCGGAAUGCGUGGUGUAGCGGUGAAAUGCAUAGAUAUCACGCAGAACUCCGAUUGCGAAGGCAGCAUACCGGCGCUCAACUGACGCUCAUGCACGAAAGUGUGGGUAUCGAACAGGAUUAGAUACCCCAGUAGUC
RNAcentral lists this ribosomal RNA (441 nucleotides) under uncultured bacterium. RNAcentral's name for it is "partial 16S ribosomal RNA". It matches the Rfam family "Bacterial small subunit ribosomal RNA", at positions 338 to 795 of the family's 1533-position model. The record is from RNAcentral.